UACAGAGGGUGCGAGCGUUGUCCGGAAUCACUGGGCGUAAAGGGCGCGUAGGCGGUUUGAUAAGGUUGCGGUGAAAGCCCGGGGCUCAACCCCGGGUCGGCCGUGGCAACUGUCGAGCUGGAGCACUGUAGAGGCAGGUGGAAUUCCGGGUGUAGCGGUGGAAUGCGUAGAGAUCCGGAAGAACACCGGUGGCGAAGGCGGCCUGCUGGGCAGUGGCUGACGCUGAGGCGCGACAGCGUGGGGAGCAAACAGG
Molecule: ribosomal RNA, 253 nt
Filed under: uncultured bacterium
Lineage: Bacteria
Description: partial 16S ribosomal RNA
Rfam family: Bacterial small subunit ribosomal RNA
Source: RNAcentral